AAGCAGAGGGGGCUUAGUGGUGGGGUGACUGCGUACCUUUUGUAUAAUGGGUCAGCGACUUAUAUUCUGUAGCAAGGUUAACCGUAUAGGGGAGCCGGAGGGAAACCGAGUCUUAAUUGGGCGUUAAGUUGCAGGGUAUAGACCCGAAACCCGGUGAUCUAGCCAUGGGCAGGUUGAAGGUUGGGUAACACUAACUGGAGGACCGAACCGACUAAUGUUGAAAAAUUAGCGGAUGACCUGUGGCUGGGGGUGAAAGGCCAAUCAAACCGGGAGAUAGCUGGUUCUCCCCGAAAGCUAUUUAGGUAGCGCCUCGUGAAUUCAUCUCCGGGGGUAGAGCACUGUUUCGGCUAGGGGGCCAUCCCGGCUUACCAACCCGAUGCAAACUGCGAAUACCGGAGAAUGUUAUCACGGGAGACACACGGCGGGUGCUAACGUCCGUCGUGAAGAGGGAAACAACCCAGACCGCCAGCUAAGGUCCCAAAGUCAUGGUUAAGUGGGAAACGAUGUGGGAAGGCCCAGACAGCCAGGAUGUUGGCUUAGAAGCAGCCAUCAUUUAAAGAAAGCGUAAUAGCUCACUGGUCGAGUCGGCCUGCGCGGAAGAUGUAACGGGGCUAAACCAUGCACCGAAGCUGCGGCAGCGAACGUAUCACUUAAAGCGAUUCAGCGGGUUACGAUUGACGGAGCGAAGCGACGUCAAAGCGUAUACAAAGUCGAGUCGGUUUAAGGAUACGUUCGUUGGGUAGGGGAGCGUUCUGUAAGCCUGUGAAGGUGGCCUGUGAGGGUUGCUGGAGGUAUCAGAAGUGCGAAUGCUGACAUAAGUAACGAUAAAGCGGGUGAAAAGCCCGCUCGCCGGAAGACCAAGGGUUCCUGUCCAACGUUAAUCGGGGCAGGGUGAGUCGACCCCUAAGGCGAGGCCGAAAGGCGUAGUCGAUGGGAAACGGGUUAAUAUUCCCGUACUUGGUGUUACUGCGAAGGGGGGACGGAGAAGGCUAUGUUGGCCGGGCGACGGUUGUCCCGGUUUAAGCGUGUAGGUGUGUGUUCCAGGUAAAUCCGGUUCACUUUAACACUGAGGCGUGAUGACGAGGCACUACGGUGCUGAAGCAACAAAUGCCCUGCUUCCAGGAAAAGCCUCUAAGCAUCAGGUAACAUCAAAUCGUACCCCAAACCGACACAGGUGGUCAGGUAGAGAAUACCAAGGCGCUUGAGAGAACUCGGGUGAAGGAACUAGGCAAAAUGGUGCCGUAACUUCGGGAGAAGGCACGCU
RNAcentral lists this ribosomal RNA (1264 nucleotides) under Salmonella enterica subsp. enterica serovar Derby. RNAcentral's name for it is "partial 23S ribosomal RNA". It matches the Rfam family "Bacterial large subunit ribosomal RNA", at positions 568 to 1752 of the family's 2925-position model. Lineage: Bacteria; Pseudomonadati; Pseudomonadota; Gammaproteobacteria; Enterobacterales; Enterobacteriaceae. The record is from RNAcentral.